AGAGUUUGAUCCUGGCUCAGAUUGAACGCUGGCGGCAGGCCUAACACAUGCAAGUCGAACGGUAGCACAGAGAGCUUGCUCUCGGGUGACGAGUGGCGGACGGGUGAGUAAUAUCUGGGAAACUGCCUGAUGGAGGGGGAUAACUACUGGAAACGGUAGCUAAUACCGCAUAACGUCGCAAGACCAAAGAGGGGGACCUUCGGGCCUCUUGCCAUCGGAUGUGCCCAGAUGGGAUUAGCUUGUUGGUGAGGUAACGGCUCACCAAGGCGACGAUCCCUAGCUGGUCUGAGAGGAUGACCAGCCACACUGGAACUGAGACACGGUCCAGACUCCUACGGGAGGCAGCAGUGGGGAAUAUUGCACAAUGGGCGCAAGCCUGAUGCAGCCAUGCCGCGUGUAUGAAGAAGGCCUUCGGGUUGUAAAGUACUUUCAGCGAGGAGGAAGGCGGUAAGGUUAAUAACCUUAUCGAUUGACGUUACUCGCAGAAGAAGCACCGGCUAACUCCGUGCCAGCAGCCGCGGUAAUACGGAGGGUGCAAGCGUUAAUCGGAAUUACUGGGCGUAAAGCGCACGCAGGCGGUCUGUCAAGUCGGAUGUGAAAUCCCCGGGCUCAACCUGGGAACUGCAUUCGAAACUGGCACGCUAGAGUCUUGUAGAGGGGGGGUAGAAUUCCAGGUGUAGCGGUGAAAUGCGUAGAGAUCUGGAGGAAUACCGGUGGCGAAAGCCGGCCCCCUGGACAAAGACUGACGCUCAGUGCGAAAGCGUGGGGGAGCAAACAGAUUAGAUACCCUGGUAGUCCACGCCGUAAACGAUGUCGGACUUGGAAGUGUGCCCUUGACGCGUGCUUGCAGGAGCUACCGCGUAAGUCGAUCUGACUUGGGAGUUACCGACGGCAAGGUU
RNAcentral lists this ribosomal RNA (899 nucleotides) under uncultured bacterium. RNAcentral describes it as "bacterial SSU rRNA". It matches the Rfam family "Bacterial small subunit ribosomal RNA", at positions 8 to 895 of the family's 1533-position model. The record is from RNAcentral.